ACAUGACAAGUACGGAGUCGAGCGAACGAACCCAGCAGUACUUUUACGUUACGGUAAUGGACGCGUAGGGGACGCGAGCGGCGGAGUGGGUGAGUAACACGGUGGGGAACCUGCCCCAUAGUCUGGGAUACCACUUGGAAACAGGUGCUAAUACCGGAUAAGAAAGCAGAUCGCAUGAUCAGCUUAUAAAAGGCGGCGUAAGCUGUCGCUAUGGGAUGGCCCCGCGGUGCAUUAGCUAGUUGGUAAGGUAACGGCUUACCAAGGCGAUGAUGCAUAGCCGAGUUGAGAGACUGAUCGGCCACAUUGGGACUGAGACACGGCCCAAACUCCUACGGGAGGCAGCAGUAGGGAAUCUUCCACAAUGGACGCAAGUCUGAUGGAGCAACGCCGCGUGAGUGAAGAAGGUUUUCGGAUCGUAAAGCUCUGUUGUUGGUGAAGAAGGAUAGAGGUAGUAACUGGCCUUUAUUUGACGGUAAUCAACCAGAAAGUCACGGCUAACUACGUGCCAGCAGCCGCGGUAA
This 521-nucleotide ribosomal RNA is filed under the name uncultured bacterium. Its description in RNAcentral is "bacterial SSU rRNA". It matches the Rfam family "Bacterial small subunit ribosomal RNA", at positions 53 to 523 of the family's 1533-position model. The record is from RNAcentral.